Molecule: ribosomal RNA, 447 nt
Filed under: Streptococcus dysgalactiae subsp. equisimilis
Lineage: Bacteria; Bacillati; Bacillota; Bacilli; Lactobacillales; Streptococcaceae
Description: bacterial LSU rRNA
Rfam family: Bacterial large subunit ribosomal RNA
Source: RNAcentral
GACCAUCUCCCAACCCUAAAUACUCUCUAGUGACCGAUAGUGAACCAGUACCGUGAGGGAAAGGUGAAAAGCACCCCGGGAGGGGAGUGAAAUAGAACCUGAAACCGUGUGCCUACAACAAGUUCGAGCCCGUUAAUGGGUGAGAGCGUGCCUUUUGUAGAAUGAACCGGCGAGUUACGAUAUGAUGCGAGGUUAAGUUGAAGAGACGGAGCCGCAGGGAAACCGAGUCUUAAUAGGGCGACUUAGUAUCAUGUUGUAGACCCGAAACCAUGUGACCUACCCAUGAGCAGGUUGAAGGUGCGGUAAGACGCACUGGAGGACCGAACCAGGGCACGUUGAAAAGUGCUUGGAUGACUUGUGGGUAGCGGAGAAAUUCCAAACGAACUUGGAGAUAGCUGGUUCUCUCCGAAAUAGCUUUAGGGCUAGCGUCGAUGUUAAGUCUCUUGG